RNAcentral lists this ribosomal RNA (400 nucleotides) under Scinax ruber (red snouted treefrog). RNAcentral's name for it is "partial 16S ribosomal RNA". It matches the Rfam family "Bacterial large subunit ribosomal RNA", at positions 1846 to 2422 of the family's 2925-position model. The record is from RNAcentral. Lineage: Eukaryota; Metazoa; Chordata; Amphibia; Anura; Hylidae.
UAAGAGGUCCAGCCUGCCCAGUGACUAAUGUUCAACGGCCGCGGUAUCCUAACCGUGCGAAGGUAGCGUAAUCACUUGUUCUUUAAAUGAGGACUAGUAUGAACGGCACCACGAGGGUUAUACUGUCUCCUCUCUCUAAUCAGUGAAACUAAUCUCCCCGUGAAGAAGCGGGGAUAAAACUAUAAGACGAGAAGACCCUAUGGAGCUUUAAACUUAUCCUCAAACGCCAAAAAUCACAUAUCAAGUUUCAAACUUCACCACAUGAACUCUCGCGCCAUGAGGACAAUUUUAGGUUGGGGUGACCAUGGAGUAUAGAAUAACCUCCAUGCUGAAUAGGCCUCCAAGCCUUGAGCCAAGGGCUACGACCCAUCGCACUAAAAUAUUAACAUCCAUUGAUCCA